This is a long non-coding RNA of Cucurbita moschata (crookneck pumpkin), 401 nucleotides long. RefSeq lists it as uncharacterized. The transcript has 2 exons. The record is from RefSeq and is a predicted model, not a curated record. NCBI's taxonomy places the organism in Eukaryota, Viridiplantae, Streptophyta, Magnoliopsida, Cucurbitales, Cucurbitaceae.
UAAUAUUGUAUUCCGAAUUAAUCAAUAAUUAACAAAACAGUGAGUCAGACAUAUCCUUUCCUCUCAAAGCUCUUCUUUCGUCGCAAGCGUUGGCGAUGCUCUCUUGAUCUUCGGUCCCGUUUCCGCCGCAAGUUUCGUUUUUGCACUAUAGGCUAUGAGGUUGAAUUGGUACUAAACAAGAUUAAUCGGUAGGACUGCUAUGUUAAUCGAAAUUUCACAUUACUUUCUGGAGAAAGAAGAAUCCUUAGCGAGUAGCAUCGGUGAGAGAGUAUUUAUGGACAUGCAUGUUGACUAUUACGAAUGAAAUCUGUAUCAUCUGGUAAACACUAAAGAUGACUUUUCGGAACCUUGUAAAUGUCAUGUUCGUUUAAUUAAACACAUUUUCAUUGUUGGUUUCUGAA